CCUACGGGUGGCAGCAGUGGGGGAUAUUGCACAAUGGCGGAAACCCUGAUGCAGCGACGCCGCGUGAGUGAAGAAGUAUUUCGGUAUGUAAAGCUCUAUCAGCAGGGAAGAAAAAAGACGGUACCUGACUAAGAAGCCCCGGCUAACUACGUGCCAGCAGCCGCGGUAAUACGUAGGGGGCAAGCGUUAUCCGGAUUUACUGGGUGUAAAGGGAGCGUAGACGGCAAUACAAGUCGGAAGUGAAAUCCCCGGGCUCAACCUGGGAACUGCUUUGGAAACUGUAUGGCUGGAGUGCUGGAGAGGUAAGCGGAAUUCCUAGUGUAGCGGUGAAAUGCGUAGAUAUUAGGAAGAACACCAGUGGCGAAGGCGGCUUACUGGACAGUAACUGACGUUGAGGCUCGAAAGCGUGGGGAGCGAACAGGAUUAGAUACCCCAGUAGUC
RNAcentral lists this ribosomal RNA (441 nucleotides) under uncultured bacterium. RNAcentral's name for it is "partial 16S ribosomal RNA". It matches the Rfam family "Bacterial small subunit ribosomal RNA", at positions 338 to 795 of the family's 1533-position model. The record is from RNAcentral.